RNAcentral lists this ribosomal RNA (411 nucleotides) under Alphaproteobacteria bacterium. Its description in RNAcentral is "bacterial SSU rRNA". It matches the Rfam family "Bacterial small subunit ribosomal RNA", at positions 1 to 436 of the family's 1533-position model. Lineage: Bacteria; Pseudomonadati; Pseudomonadota; Alphaproteobacteria. The record is from RNAcentral.
UCCAACCUGAGAGUUUGAUCCUGGCUCAGAGCGAACGCUGGCGGCAGGCCUAACACAUGCAAGUCGAACGCCUGUAGCAAUACAGGAGUGGCAGACGGGUGAGUAACACGUGGGAACGUGCCCUUCGGUUCGGAAUAACUCAGGGAAACUUGGGCUAAUACCGGAUACGUCCGCGAGGAGAAAGAUUCAUCGCCGAAGGAUCGGCCCGCGUCCGAUUAGCUAGUUGGUGGGGUAAUGGCCCACCAAGGCGACGAUCGGUAGCUGGUCUGAGAGGAUGAUCAGCCACACUGGGACUGAGACACGGCCCAGACUCCUACGGGAGGCAGCAGUGGGGAAUAUUGGACAAUGGGCGCAAGCCUGAUCCAGCCAUGCCGCGUGGGUGAUGAAGGCCCUAGGGUUGUAAAGCCCUUU